GACGAACGCUGGCGGCGUGCUUAACACAUGCAAGUCGAACGGAAAGGCCCCCACUUUUUUGGUGGGGGUGCUCAAGUGGCGAACGGGUGAGUAACACGUGGGUGAUCUGCCCUGUACUUCGGGAUAAGCUUGGGAAACUGGGUCUAAUACCGGAUAGGACCAUGGUUUAGUGUCUCAUGGUGGAAAAAUUAUUGUUUUGGUGCAGGAUGAGCUCGCGGCCUAUCAGCUUGUUGGUGGGGUAAUGGCCUACCAAGGCGUCGACGGGUAGCCGGCCUGAGAGGGUGGACGGCCACAUUGGGACUGAGAUACGGCCCAGACUCCUACGGGAGGCAGCAGUGGGGAAUAUUGCACAAUGGGCGCAAGCCUGAUGCAGCGACGCCGCGUGGGGGAUGACGGCCUUCGGGUUGUAAACUCCUUUCGUUAGGGACGAAGCCGCACCUUUUUUGGGUGUGGUGACGGUACCUUUGUUAAGAAGCACCGGCUAACUACGU
RNAcentral lists this ribosomal RNA (491 nucleotides) under uncultured bacterium. Its description in RNAcentral is "partial 16S ribosomal RNA". It matches the Rfam family "Bacterial small subunit ribosomal RNA", at positions 28 to 506 of the family's 1533-position model. The record is from RNAcentral.